CCUACGGGUGGCAGCAGUGAGGAAUAUUGGUCAAUGGCCGGAAGGCUGAACCAGCCAAGCCGCGUGAAGGACGAAGGUGCCAAGCAUUGUAAACUUCUUUUGUCAAGGGACAAAAUCAGGCUCGAGAGCCUGACCGAGGGUACUUGAAGCAAAAGCAUCGGCUAACUCCGUGCCAGCAGCCUCGGUAAUACGGAGGGGGCAAGCGUUGUCCGGAAUCAUUGGGCGUAAAGAGUUCGUAGGCGGUAUGUUAAGUCUGGUGUUAAAUGCAGAAGCUCAACUUCUGUGCGGCACUGGAUACUGGCAAACUAGAAUGCGGUAGAGGUAAAGGGAAUUCCUGGUGUAGCGGUGAAAUGCUUAGAUAUCAGGAGGAACAUCGGUGGCGUAAGCGCUUUACUGGGCCGUAAUUGACGCUGAGGAACGAAAGCCAGGGUAGCAAAUGGGAUUAGAUACCCUAGUAGUC
Molecule: ribosomal RNA, 460 nt
Filed under: uncultured bacterium
Lineage: Bacteria
Description: partial 16S ribosomal RNA
Rfam family: Bacterial small subunit ribosomal RNA
Source: RNAcentral